Molecule: ribosomal RNA, 537 nt
Filed under: uncultured bacterium
Lineage: Bacteria
Description: bacterial SSU rRNA
Rfam family: Bacterial small subunit ribosomal RNA
Source: RNAcentral
AGAGUUUGAUCCUGGCUCAGAAUCAACGCUGGCGGCGUGCCUAACACAUGCAAGUCGAACGCGAAAGGGACUUCGGUCCUGAGUAGAGUGGCGAACGGGUGAGUAACGCGUGGGUGACCUACCCUCGAGUGGGGGAUAACGUUCCGAAAGGGACGCUAAUACCGCAUGACAUUCCGGGUUUGAAGACCUGGAAAUCAAAGCCGGGGACCGCAAGGCCUGGCGCUAGAGGAGGGGCCCGCGUCUGAUUAGCUAGUUGGCGGGGUAACGGCCCACCAAGGCGACGAUCAGUAGCCGGCCUGAGAGGGCGGACGGCCACACUGGGACUGAGACACGGCCCAGACUCCUACGGGAGGCAGCAGUGGGGAAUUGUUCGCAAUGGGCGCAAGCCUGACGACGCAACGCCGCGUGGAGGAUGAAGGUCUUCGGAUCGUAAACUCCUGUUGAUCGGGACGAAAAGCUUCGACCUAAUACGUUGAAGACUGACGGUACCGGUUGAGGAAGCCACGGCUAACUCUGUGCCAGCAGCGGCGGUAAUAC